AGAGUUUGAUCAUGGCUCAGAGUGAACGCUGGCGGCAGGCCUAAUACAUGCAAGUCGAACGGCAGCACGGCAGAGCUUGCUCUGUGGGUGGCGAGUGGCGGACGGGUGAGGAAUACAUGGGAAUCUGCCCAGUCGUGGGGGAUAACGUAGGGAAACUUACGCUAAUACCGCAUGCGCCCUUCGGGGGAAAGCCGGGGACCGUAAGGCCUGGCGCGAUUGGAUGAGCCCAUGUCGGAUUAGCUAGUUGGCGGGGUAAAGGCCCACCAAGGCGACGAUCCGUAGCUGGUCUGAGAGGAUGAUCAGCCACACUGGAACUGAGACACGGUCCAGACUCCUACGGGAGGCAGCAGUAGGGAAUAUUGGACAAUGGGCCCAAGCCUGAUCCAGCCAUGCCGCGUGAGUGAAGAAGGCCCUCGGGUUGUAAAGCUCUUUUGUCCGGAAAGAAAAGCGCCGGGUUAAUACCCUGGUGUCCUGACGGUACCGGAAGAAUAAGCACCGGCUAACUUCGUG
This 510-nucleotide ribosomal RNA is filed under the name uncultured bacterium. RNAcentral's name for it is "bacterial SSU rRNA". It matches the Rfam family "Bacterial small subunit ribosomal RNA", at positions 8 to 507 of the family's 1533-position model. The record is from RNAcentral.